This 333-nucleotide ribosomal RNA is filed under the name Triticum aestivum (bread wheat). RNAcentral describes it as "partial small subunit ribosomal RNA". Lineage: Eukaryota; Viridiplantae; Streptophyta; Magnoliopsida; Poales; Poaceae. The record is from RNAcentral.
AUGUCUGAUGUAGUGAACAUCAGAUUUUACUACGGUCCUGGUACUGCCCAAACAACUGAGAUGGGAGCUGAUCUGAGUGAAUUUACUCACAUAGAUGUGCCAAUGAGCACACCUCAAACAUGGUCUGUCAGUCAGUUGAAAGAAUGGAUUGCGGCAAGUUUAGGUCUUGAUACUGAAACACACACCGUCGGUGUUCAUGCAUUGUGGACACGGUCAAGUACAAUAAUUUAUUUUUAUUUGAGGCCAAUAGAGCGAGACUCCGAUUGGGUGCGGUGGUUACAAGGUUGUGAACGAAGGGGAUGCAAUCCUAUUGCUUUAGUGCUUCCCUCGUGA